RNAcentral lists this long non-coding RNA (519 nucleotides) under Monodelphis domestica (gray short-tailed opossum). Its description in RNAcentral is "lncRNA (ENSMODG00000038667.1)". The record is from RNAcentral. Lineage: Eukaryota; Metazoa; Chordata; Mammalia; Didelphimorphia; Didelphidae.
GCCUUACAUGGUAAAUAUGUAGUUCUGUGUGUUUUAUUUCUGAAACUGAAAUGCUCUAAGCCCUGACAGAUUUAUUUCUGUGCUUCUCCAGACAGUAAUGGCUGUGUCUACUCUUCAGGACCUUGAGAGACAAGGAGAAGGUCUUUUUUACAAUAAGCAUUCUACCGUGCGCCCCAAGGUUGACACAGGAGGGAAGUUCAGCAAAAGAAUAUCCUCUCUCUACAUAUGACAGCAGACUUGUAUGCAGCCCAGAGAAUAUCUUCUUUUUUCUUGGUGGGUAUUUUAUUUGCCUAAUAGAUCAUACAUUUCUUGAGGGUAAGGUUUUCUUCUUUUUUGUCCUUGUAUUACUAUCACCUAACAUAGAAUAUAGCACAAAGUAAGCAACUGAUAAUUGCUUGCUAAACUAAAUUUAAUUGGUAGUGUGUAUUUUAGUAGUAAAUAGUACUGAUUUAUUUAUUAGCUUCAUUAUCUCUCUUGGUGAUGUAUAUAUUUAAGUUUCAAAUAUAUAUAUAUAUGAAA